Molecule: ribosomal RNA, 602 nt
Filed under: Coniochaeta sp. TP-Snow-Y70
Lineage: Eukaryota; Fungi; Ascomycota; Sordariomycetes; Coniochaetales; Coniochaetaceae
Description: eukaryotic LSU rRNA
Rfam family: Eukaryotic large subunit ribosomal RNA
Source: RNAcentral
GCAUAUCAAUAAGCGGAGGAAAAGAAACCAACAGGGAUUGCCCCAGUAACGGCGAGUGAAGCGGCAACAGCUCAAAUUUGAAAUCUGGCUUCGGCCCGAGUUGUAAUUUGUAGAGGAUGAUUUUGGUGAGGUGCCUUCUGAGUUCCCUGGAACGGGACGCCAGAGAGGGUGAGAGCCCCGUAUAGUCGGCCACCGAUCCUCUGUAAAUCUCCUUCGACGAGUCGAGUAGUUUGGGAAUGCUGCUCAAAAUGGGAGGUAUAUCUCUUCUAAAGCUAAAUAUAGGCCAGAGACCGAUAGCGCACAAGUAGAGUGAUCGAAAGAUGAAAAGCACUUUGAAAAGAGGGUUAAAUAGCACGUGAAAUUGUUGAAAGGGAAGCGCUUGUGACCAGACUUGUGCCGGGCUGAUCAUCCAGUGUUCUCACUGGUGCACUCGACCCGGCUCAGGCCAGCGUCGGUUCUCGUGGGGGGACAAAAGCUUCGGGAACGUGGCACCUCCGGGUGUGUUAUAGCCCGCUGCUUAAUACCCUCGUGGGGACCGAGGUUCGCGCUCUGCAAGGACGCUGGCAUAAUGGUCAUCAGCGACCCGUCUUGAAACACGGACC